RNAcentral lists this ribosomal RNA (429 nucleotides) under Triticum aestivum (bread wheat). RNAcentral's name for it is "partial small subunit ribosomal RNA". Lineage: Eukaryota; Viridiplantae; Streptophyta; Magnoliopsida; Poales; Poaceae. The record is from RNAcentral.
AUGCUCCUACUUUCGGAAUGGAGUUGGGAACGCCUACCAGUUGAACACCCGAAAGAGGUAUCGUUCAAGGCUUGGGACGAUCAUGGCAACCCUCUACGGCUACCCACUUACAAGUGGGACGUGGUAUCAGAGAUCACGAGCGAUGUCGCUAUCAUGUAUAGGCAGUACACCAAUGAGAUGGAUACGCUUAUCGCUGAGCAGGUAAAUAUUGACAUUACAUCACUCACUCGCAUGCUCUCUAUGAAAACUCAACAUCAAUGUUGUUGUGCUAUGUUGCAAGUGGAAUGGCAGCCAUAUGGUGUCGGGGAUAGCUUCGGUGUAGCAUUGCUCUUUGGAGAACCCAUUUCCUCUCUGCCUUCCCAAAUCCCUGUCGCACGAUUUUCUUCACUAACCUCGGGGCAUCAACCCGGACCCUCAAAACACCAUUGA